RNAcentral lists this long non-coding RNA (543 nucleotides) under Spirodela polyrhiza (greater duckweed). RNAcentral's name for it is "long non-coding RNA (SPOL_LNC002248)". Lineage: Eukaryota; Viridiplantae; Streptophyta; Magnoliopsida; Alismatales; Araceae. The record is from RNAcentral.
GUUGGCGGUUCCUGACCGGCGGAGGAAGAUCUGGACGGCACUGGGAGUUCCAUCAAGGACGUUAAUGGACGGGUGCCUGGGGAAGGAGAGCGAAGCCCGACUACAGAUGGCACGGUGGUCGGAAAUAGGGCAGUAUAAUGCGCAGUAUCCAUCUUUGAAGUGGGUACGGCGGGCUUUAUAAACGGUAGACGUCGCCGGGCACGGCGACCCUUCGCAAAGAGGAAGGGGCUGAUGGGAGACAUAAAGGAAGGCGAGGGACCGCGGACCCCAGGUUCAUACGUACGGAGCAGCCGCCCCCACCCCUCUUCCUCCCUACACCGCUGUAGACGAAGCAGGGGGAAACUGGAACCAAAUCCAGCAGGGGAUCCCUCUGUACAUGCACGGACGGACCUUGAUAAUGGAAUAACCCACAGCGUCGCCUCCUUUUUCACCCCCUUCUCCGCCUGUCCGUCGCCUCACACAGAGCCCUCGCGCUGAGCUGGCCUCGGCGCCCCUCGACGCAGUCGACCCACUGAAGCAUCUCCGAGGAAGUAGCUACUCAUC